RNAcentral lists this transfer RNA (56 nucleotides) under Oryctes borbonicus. It matches the Rfam family "tRNA", at positions 8 to 63 of the family's 71-position model. Rfam says of the family: Transfer RNA (tRNA) molecules are approximately 80 nucleotides in length. Their secondary structure includes four short double-helical elements and three loops (D, anti-codon, and T loops). Further hydrogen bonds mediate the characteristic L-shaped molecular structure. tRNAs have two regions of fundamental functional importance: the anti-codon, which is responsible for specific mRNA codon recognition, and the 3' end, to which the tRNAs corresponding amino acid is attached (by aminoacyl-tRNA synthetases). tRNAs cope with the degeneracy of the genetic code in two manners: having more than one tRNA (with a specific anti-codon) for a particular amino acid; and 'wobble' base-pairing, i.e. permitting non-standard base-pairing at the 3rd anti-codon position. Lineage: Eukaryota; Metazoa; Arthropoda; Insecta; Coleoptera; Scarabaeidae. The record is from Rfam by way of RNAcentral.
UGAUGUAGCGGUAGCAUGUCCAUCUGGUAAAUGGGAGUCGUACGUUCGAAUCCUAC